This 404-nucleotide ribosomal RNA is filed under the name uncultured bacterium. RNAcentral's name for it is "bacterial SSU rRNA". It matches the Rfam family "Bacterial small subunit ribosomal RNA", at positions 355 to 775 of the family's 1533-position model. The record is from RNAcentral.
UGAGGAAUAUUGCGCAACGGCCGCAAGUCUGGCGCAGCAACGCCGCGUGGGCGAUGAAGGUCUUCGGAUCGUAAAGCCCUUUUCUAGAGGAAGAGGAAGGACGGUACUCUAGGAAUAAGUCUCGGCUAACUACGUGCCAGCAGCCGCGGUAAAACGUAGGAGACAAGCGUUAUCCGGAUUCAUUGGGCGUAAAGGGCAUGCAGGUGGUGCCUUAAGUUGGAUGUGAAAUCUCCCGGCUUAACUGGGAGGGGUCAUCCAAAACUGGGGCUCUUGAGGGCAGGAGAGGGAAAUGGAAUUCCCGGUGUAGCGGUGGAAUGCGUAGAUAUCGGGAGGAACACCAGUGGCGAAAGCGGUUUCCUGGCCUGCAUCUGACACUGAUAUGCGAAAGCUAGGGGAGCAAACGG